Molecule: ribosomal RNA, 234 nt
Filed under: uncultured Lactobacillus sp.
Lineage: Bacteria; Bacillati; Bacillota; Bacilli; Lactobacillales; Lactobacillaceae
Description: partial 16S ribosomal RNA
Rfam family: Bacterial small subunit ribosomal RNA
Source: RNAcentral
GCCCAAGAGAUCGGGAUAACACCUGGAAACAGAUGCUAAUACCGGAUAACAACAGAUGAUGCCUAUCAACUGUUUAAAAGAUGGUUCUGCUAUCACUCUUGGAUGGACCUGCGGUGCAUUAGCUAGUUGGUAGGGUAACGGCCUACCAAGGCGAUGAUGCAUAGCCGAGUUGAGAGACUGAUCGGCCACAUUGGGACUGAGACACGGCACAAACUCCUACGGGAGGCAGCAGUC